CUGGAGUCCCCAUGCGUCAUACUUCUAUUCAGUAUUAAACUGUUUUAGUGCUAUACAAGAGUUAUUCCCUCUGUGCUGCUCUGUCUAAUGAGAAGCAUGGGUUGCAAUGGGUGACUGUGAUUGGCUGAGGGUGUCAACUGACAAUUCAGUGUCCAUUCAGAUUUGGCUAACUAGAAGGAAGUAUGUAAUAUCUGUUUUAGUCACACCUCCAGUACGGG
Molecule: non-coding RNA, 218 nt
Organism: Pelobates cultripes (western spadefoot toad)
Lineage: Eukaryota; Metazoa; Chordata; Amphibia; Anura; Pelobatidae
Source: the annotation of a GenBank genome assembly